Long non-coding RNA from Passer domesticus (house sparrow), 579 nucleotides. RefSeq lists it as uncharacterized. The transcript has 2 exons. NCBI's taxonomy places the organism in Eukaryota, Metazoa, Chordata, Aves, Passeriformes, Passeridae. The record is from RefSeq and is a predicted model, not a curated record.
UGGCCUGUGGUACUUGGCUGCUGGCUGGGGUUAAACCACAACACACCCAGAGCUACAGGAGAGGCUUAAGCAGACAAAACUGAAGAGCCAAGAGGUGCUUCCUGUGCCAAGGAUGGGGAGAGAGCCAACCCCCCUGAUCCUCACUUGUGAUUUUACUGGAAGUGGGAAUUGCAAUAAAUCCCUGCCAGUUUGCAGUGCAACACGUUCCUCCUGAUUGAGCCUGAGUGCUUCCUCUCCUUGUGGUGUCAGACUAAAGCUUGUUUUCAGCUUUUUGUUUCAAAGGCUGGACCAGCCCCAUGCUGUUAGUGUGUUUCACAACUGACCUGGUCCCCAGACCUUUGUGAGGAUGCUUUGGUUGUCUUCAAAGUUUGCAUCCUUGGCCUCCCUGCUCUUUGUCCCUGCCUGUGGUCACCCAUGUUCAAAGGAGCUUAAUCCAGACUGAAGACUUAAUCCAGACUGUGCAGAGAAGGGAUGUCAGAAUAACCAGAGUUGAGUCACAUCACUGAGAUGUGACUAGAGGAAUUUAUUUACCUUAGAAAUGCCAGAGUGAGAAGAGAUAUGACAGGUCUCAAUAGAAAA